RNAcentral lists this long non-coding RNA (1947 nucleotides) under Equus caballus (horse). RNAcentral's name for it is "lncRNA (ENSECAG00000058823.1)". Lineage: Eukaryota; Metazoa; Chordata; Mammalia; Perissodactyla; Equidae. The record is from RNAcentral.
ACCGGAAUGUGGUCUUUGUACAGGCAUGUACAAAGACCCUGGAGACAGAUGGGGGCAGGGAACAUCCAGCGAUCCUCCAGGCAGGGAAGAUGCCCCCCGAGGAGCAAUAUUUCAGCAGAGCAUUGAAGGGGCUUUAGGGGUUGGCUGCAGUUUGCAGUUCAGUGGCUCGAAGUUCAUCCGCAUUGAUGUGUAGGCACCACCACCAUCCAGCUCGAGAACUUUCUCAUCUUGGAAAACUUCCUUGGACCUUUUAGAUGUUGGCAACAUGUUCAAAAACUUUAAAAUACAGAGAUGGUCAAAUAGACCCUCAUGUGGGCCUUUUUAUAGCCUCUGUCAUGUAUCGCCUUGUGAACUCACACAAUAACCCGUGGGGCAGCGGCAACUAUGCCCCUUCCACAGAUGAGGAAACUGAGGCUGGGAGAGGCCACGUCGCUUGUGUAAGAUCCCACAGCCAAUGAGGACGGCAGAGCUGGAAUCUGAGCUGGAUUCAGUUUGAUUCCCAAGCCUGGGUUCAUCCUGGACCCACACCACCUCCUAACCAGGGUGGAAAUAGAGAGUGACAGAGAGGAGUGGCCUAGGAGUCUGGGAGACGGAGACAGGUCUUCUGGACUGAGACAGUGACACAAGAAGGACGAGGCACAGGAGCUGGAGGUGUGUCCCCAGAGUCACUUGGGUUUGGGCUCAUCAAACAGGGCCUAGGCACAGCUAGACUGGGCCUAUCCUAAGCCCCAAAGACAUAUGCCAGGGGACCAUGUGACCUGGAAGCUGAUGGAGGACAGCUGCACAGCGCCAGUGACAGAGAGGGUGUCCGCACGGUGGAAGGGCACACGGUGUGUGUACUACACAAAGAGGCUCCCGUUCACCAUCACCUGCCAAGACGAGCGCAUGUUCCAGGAGAGAGGUCCCAGACCAGGGCAGGGAGCACACCUGGGCCUCCAGGACUCCUGCUUCUAGAAAUUAAGACCAUCCAUGCCUUGUAGGUCAGGGGCACCAGGCUUCAGAGCUGUGCCUGUUCAGGAACAUGCCUGUGAUCCAAACUCAAUCUCUGCUUGGCUCUCCUUGUUGGCUUUGUAGAUAUUAUGGUGUUUUGUUCAUUGCAAUAGCUCAGUUUGUCUAAUCACAGCUCACCUGGGGUGUUACUUAAACAUGCCUAAAAAUGUUCCUAGGGAACAGAGAAGAGACGAUCUCAGGCUGCUUAUGGAGGGGAUGGGAACAUGCACCUUCAUAGGGAUGCACAGACACAGGUAUACUCAGCCUACCUAUCUUCCCAAACCCAGAUUCACAACUAUGCUGGCAAGAGCAAUCUGAAAUGCCUUGCAAAACUAAGCCAUUACUGGAACCCAGAUAAAGGCUGCAACAAUGUUGCCAGGAAACAAAUGUUCUCAUGGACCCGGAUGGGCCAAUGGCUACAGCAGAGGAACCGAAUUAACUCGGACUUUAAAGACUCAGGAGGACAAAAACCCCAAGGUGACUUAUCUGGUUCUUACUCCCUGAGUGAAAGAAGCAACAGGUUCACCUGUAAGCGCAGGUGAAGAUGUGUAAAGAGACUGCAGCCAUCAGUAACACCCUUAAAGGAAAUGGUCCUGUCAUCUGUCUAUGGUGUUGCUCAGCCAGAUCUCAAUGGGCGCGAAUAUUUCAAGGCUCUUCCCCAGGCCUGUUAGCGCUGAGGGGACGCACAGCGGGAAGGAGGGGAAGAGAGCUCCUGCUCACCUGGAAACAUGAGCUCUGCACCAGGAUGCUGAGCUCAGAAGGAUUCCUGCUCUGUAAGGGCAGGUGUGUCUUCUCCUCCAGCCCCCAGCGUCCUUUCUGCUUCGUGUUGCAGACCACAGACCCGCCCCCUUCAAACCGUGGGUUGAAGUGAAAGGCAAUGUCGUUGUCACCGGCUCAGAACUGCUCUCUGCUUCUGGCCGUGCCUGGAGCCUGAGAACGUUUUCCUUCCCUUCCUGU